UCAUCAAGAUGUCAGUCUCCCAC
RNAcentral lists this non-coding RNA (23 nucleotides) under Rattus norvegicus (Norway rat). The record is from RNAcentral. Lineage: Eukaryota; Metazoa; Chordata; Mammalia; Rodentia; Muridae.